CCUACGGGUGGCAGCAGUGGGGAAUAUUGGACAAUGGGGGGAACCCUGAUCCAGCCAUGCCGCGUGCGUGAAGAAGGCCCUCGGGUUGUAAAGCACUUUCAGUGAGGAAGAACGCCUGGUGGUUAAUACCCAUCAGGAAAGACAUCACUCACAGAAGAAGCACCGGCUAACUCCGUGCCAGCAGCCGCGGUAAUACGGAGGGUGCGAGCGUUAAUCGGAAUUACUGGGCGUAAAGCGCGCGUAGGUGGCUUGAUAAGCCGGUUGUGAAAGCCCCGGGCUCAACCUGGGAACGGCAUCCGGGACUGUCAAGCUAGAGUGCAGGAGAGGAAGGUAGAAUUCCCGGUGUAGCGGUGAAAUGCGUAGAGAUCGGGAGGAAUACCAGUGGCGAAGGCGGCCUUCUGGACUGACACUGACACUGAGGUGCGAAAGCGUGGGUAGCAAACAGGAUUAGAUACCCGAGUAGUC
Molecule: ribosomal RNA, 465 nt
Filed under: Vreelandella stevensii
Lineage: Bacteria; Pseudomonadati; Pseudomonadota; Gammaproteobacteria; Oceanospirillales; Halomonadaceae
Description: partial 16S ribosomal RNA
Rfam family: Bacterial small subunit ribosomal RNA
Source: RNAcentral